Molecule: long non-coding RNA, 1319 nt
Organism: Gordionus sp. m RMFG-2023
Lineage: Eukaryota; Metazoa; Nematomorpha; Gordioida; Chordodea; Parachordodidae
Exons: 2
Source: RefSeq, a predicted model, not a curated record
UUUUUAUCUCAUAAUAGAUUUUUAUGAUUAUUUCAAAAAAAAUUCAUUUAUAUCAAGCAUCACAAUUUGAUAUUAACCAUCAUUUGCUCCACCUUACCUACAUAUGGUGAUUUGACUAAAAACUUAUUUAAAAACGUUGGCCGCCUAAUCAGAAAAAAUUCUGGGAAGCCUUGCGAAGGUUUUUACUUAAGGCAGAGGAUCGCAAUAGCCAUUCUUAAGGCUAAUUAUGUUUGUUUUAUCAAUUCGAUCUCUCCUGAUGAUUAGGUGAAGGAGGUUUUGAAUAAUUUUGCUGCUUUCGCUUUUAUUUAUUCUGUAUUUUACAUUAUUUUAUGGUCUAUGACUCAAUAUUGUCCUUUUGUCAUUAUUAUUUUUUUUUUCGUAAUCGUUUACUAAUUAUACUAAUUAUAUAUUUUUCAUUUUAUAAAUUAUACAAUUAUAAAUUAAUUACAUGAUUUUAUAUUGCAUCAAUUUUAAUAUGUAUAUAAUAAUCCGCGUAAGAAUUAUCUUUUUUCCUUUCUUAUCUCCAAUUCGUCCUCCUUUAUAUAUCAUCUAAAAUAAAAUACAAUGUUAAUCAUUUUAAGUUAGUGUCUUUUAAAUUCCAAUUAAUAUAUUUUUUGGAAAUAAUAAAUAUAACAAAUCUUAUUUUCUUAUUCGAGUUAUUUUAAAUAUGUAUCAAAGAUUUAUAUUUAUUAUUGGCUUAAAUAAAAUUAAAUAUAAUUAUUAAAUAUAUCCAGUAAUUUAAUUUUAUUAGCGUUUAUAUUAUAAUACCUCAUUUUAGCUAAACUAAAUUAGUUACGAAUUUAGUGAACUAAAAAAUUUGAUUGUCCAAGCAUGCCAAACUAAUUUAGAAUUUUGCAUCCAAUAAUUUUUCUUAAAAAGUAGAACCAUAUUUAUAUCCCGCUAUUGCUUUAAUAUAAUAAAUUAUUAUUUUAAAAAAUUGCAACCACAUUUAUAUCUUCCUAUUGGGGGGAGAAGGCGAAAAUCAAUCCAGCCAUUUUUCAUGGAAGAUAUUUUUACUAGUAUUUAUAUAAUUAUAUUUGGUUUAAUGUCAUAAUAUCUUUACAGGAUAUAUUGAAUAUAAAAUGCACUACUAAAUCUAAUGGAAACAUUAAUAAAAAUAUGAAAAUGUCUCCGGUUAUAAAAUUCAUUAAAUUGAGAAUUAUACUUUUUGUUAUUUUAAUAGAUAGCACUUCAGUUUUUUUUAUCCUAUCAGUAUUUUUCAUCCAAUUUAUCAACAAAUAUUGAUGACUUCCUAAUCUUCUAUUUUAAAAUUUAUCAUUUAAUUAUUGAUAUUGUAAAAUAUAUAGCUGUCCUGUUAA